AGAGUUUGAUCCUGGCUCAGAUUGAACGCUGGCGGCAGGCCUAACACAUGCAAGUCGAACGGUAAGGCCCUUCGGGGUACACGAGUGGCGAACGGGUGAGUAACACGUGGGUAAUCUGCCCUGCACAUCGGGAUAAGCCUGGGAAACUGGGUCUAAUACCGAAUAGGACCACAGAACACAUGUCCUGUGGUGGAAAGCUUUUGCGGUGUGGGAUGGGCCCGCGGCCUAUCAGCUUGUUGGUGGGGUGAUGGCCUACCAAGGCGACGACGGGUAGCCGGCCUGAGAGGGUGUCCGGCCACACUGGGACUGAGAUACGGCCCAGACUCCUACGGGAGGCAGCAGUGGGGAAUAUUGCACAAUGGGCGCAAGCCUGAUGCAGCGACGCCGCGUGAGGGAUGACGGCCUUCGGGUUGUAAACCUCUUUCAGCACAGACGAAGCGCAAGUGACGGUAUGUGCAGAAGAAGGACCGGCCAACUACGUGCCAGCAGCCGCGGUAAUACGUAGGGUCCGAGCGUUGUCCGGAAUUACUGGGCGUAAAGAGCUCGUAGGUGGUUUGUCGCGUUGUUCGUGAAAACUCACAGCUUAACUGUGGGCGUGCGGGCGAUACGGGCAGACUUGAGUACUGCAGGGGAGACUGGAAUUCCUGGUGUAGCGGUGAAAUGCGUAGA
RNAcentral lists this ribosomal RNA (669 nucleotides) under uncultured bacterium. RNAcentral's name for it is "bacterial SSU rRNA". It matches the Rfam family "Bacterial small subunit ribosomal RNA", at positions 8 to 694 of the family's 1533-position model. The record is from RNAcentral.